GCCUAACACAUGCAAGUCGAACGCGCUCCAUUCGAGCAAUACCGAUGAAGAGCGAGUGGCGAACGGGUGAGUAACACAUGAGCAACCUGCCCCGAAGACCGGGACAACACCGGGAAACCGGUGCUAAUACCGGAUAUCCCUAUCGGACCGCAUGAUCUGAUAAGGAAAUGGAUUCCGCUUCGGGAGGGGCUCGUGGCCUAUCAGCUAGUUGGUGAGGUAAUAGCUCACCAAGGCAUCGACGGGUAGCUGGUCUGAGAGGACGAUCAGCCACACUGGGACUGAGACACGGCCCAGACUCCUACGGGAGGCAGCAGUGGGGAAUCUUGCGCAAUGGGCGAAAGCCUGACGCAGCAACGCCGCGUGGAGGACGAAGGCUUUCUGAGUUGUAAACUCCUUUCAGCAGGGACGAUUGUGACGGUACCUGCAGAAGAAGCACCGGCCAACUACGUGCCAGCAGCCGCGGUAAU
This 467-nucleotide ribosomal RNA is filed under the name uncultured bacterium. RNAcentral's name for it is "bacterial SSU rRNA". It matches the Rfam family "Bacterial small subunit ribosomal RNA", at positions 46 to 524 of the family's 1533-position model. The record is from RNAcentral.